Long non-coding RNA from Pantherophis guttatus, 789 nucleotides. RefSeq lists it as uncharacterized. The record is from RefSeq and is a predicted model, not a curated record. Lineage: Eukaryota; Metazoa; Chordata; Lepidosauria; Squamata; Colubridae.
UCUAACCGACAAAACAAUGCAAAAUUGAGUCCGCCUUUUGUUGCUUUAGUAUCCAGCAGCAAUAUAUACCAAACAAAACGAAAGGAUUUAGAUACUACAAUGCUGAUCUCCGGGAAGACAGCUAUCCUGCACUGCAACUUUAUAUUUCCACUAUUAAGGAAAAUAACCACAAAGGUCCAGAGAAUUUGCAUGGCACCCUCCCUCCCCGAAUAUGCAUAAAGACUUAGUUUGAUUGACAACAGAGUGUACAGGUAGUCCUCACAACCACAAUUGAGUCCAACAUUUAUGUUGUUAAAUGAGAAAUUUGUUAAGUGAGUUUGUUCCAUUUUACGAUUUUUCUUGCCACAUUUGUUACAUCAAUCAAUGCAGUUCUUAAAUUAGUAAUACAGUUGUUAAGUGAAUCUAGUUUCCCAUUGACUUUGCUAAUCAGAAGGUCGCAAAAGGAGAUCAAAUUACUCCGGGACGUGCAACCGUCAUAAAUGUGAAUCAGUUGUCAAGCAUCCGAAUGUAAAUCAUGUGACUAUGGGGAUGUUGCAACAGUCAUAAGUGUGAAAAAUAGUCAUGUCACUUUUUUCAAUGCCGUUGUAACUUUGAACAGUCACUAAAUGAACUGCUAUAAGUCAAGAACUACCUGUACUGUCUUGAAACUUAGAUUGAAUAAAUCAAUCUCUUUUAGAAGAGAGUUCAAUAUUUCUACAACUUGAACAUUUAAAAAAGGUGUAAUAUGUAGCUUUGCAUGUCAACAACUUUGAUAUUCCCGUUGGUAAAUAAAGCAAAUGCUAGAACGUA